CGGGAUGUAGCGUAGCCAGGUAUCGCGUCAGCAUGGGGUGCUGAAGGUCGUGGGUUCAAAUCCCGCCAUCCCGA
This 74-nucleotide transfer RNA is filed under the name Sphingobacteriaceae bacterium. RNAcentral's name for it is "tRNA-Pro". It matches the Rfam family "tRNA". Rfam says of the family: Transfer RNA (tRNA) molecules are approximately 80 nucleotides in length. RNAcentral also lists the same sequence under 2 other names. Lineage: Bacteria; Pseudomonadati; Bacteroidota; Sphingobacteriia; Sphingobacteriales; Sphingobacteriaceae. The record is from RNAcentral.